RNAcentral lists this ribosomal RNA (253 nucleotides) under uncultured bacterium. RNAcentral describes it as "partial 16S ribosomal RNA". It matches the Rfam family "Bacterial small subunit ribosomal RNA", at positions 524 to 776 of the family's 1533-position model. The record is from RNAcentral.
UACGUAGGGGGCAAGCGUUGUCCGGAUUUAUUGGGCGUAAAGAGCGUGUAGGCGGCCAUUUAGGUCAGCUGUGAAAACUCGAGGCUCAACCUCGAGACGUCGGUUGAAACCGCAUGGCUAGAGUCCGGAAGAGGAGAGUGGAAUUCCCGGUGUAGCGGUGAAAUGCGCAGAUAUCGGGAAGAACACCCGUGGCGAAGGCGGCUCUCUGGGACGGUACUGACGCUGAGACGCGAAAGCGUGGGGAGCGAACAGG